GACGAACGCUGGCGGCGUGCUUAACACAUGCAAGUCGAACGGAAAGGCCCUGCUUUUGUGGGGUGCUCGAGCGGCGAACGGGUGAGUAACACGUGAGUAACCUGCCCUUGACUUUGGGAUAACUUCAGGAAACUGGGGCUAAUACCGGAUAGGAGCUCCUGCUGCAUGGUGGGGGUUGGAAAGUUUCGGCGGUUGGGGAUGGACUCGCGGCUUAUCAGCUUGUUGGUGGGGUAGUGGCUUACCAAGGCUUUGACGGGUAGCCGGCCUGAGAGGGUGACCGGCCACAUUGGGACUGAGAUACGGCCCAGACUCCUACGGGAGGCAGCAGUGGGGAAUAUUGCACAAUGGGCGGAAGCCUGAUGCAGCAACGCCGCGUGCGGGAUGACGGCCUUCGGGUUGUAAACCGCUUUCGCCUGUGACGAAGCGUGAGUGACGGUAAUGGGUAAAGAAGCACCGGCUAACUACGUGCCAGCAGCCGCGGUGAUACGUAGGGUGCGAGCGUUGUCCGGAUUUAUUGGGCGUAAAGGGCUCGUAGGUGGUUGAUCGCGUCGGAAGUGUAAUCUUGGGGCUUAACCCUGAGCGUGCUUUCGAUACGGGUUGACUUGAGGAAGGUAGGGGAGAAUGGAAUUCCUGGUGGAGCGGUGGAAUGCGCAGAUAUCAGGAGGAACACCAGUGGCGAAGGCGGUUCUCUGGGCCUUUCCUGACGCUGAGGAGCGAAAGCGUGGGGAGCGAACAGGCUUAGAUACCCUGGUAGUCCACGCUGUAAACGGUGGGUACUAGGUGUGGGGUCCAUUCCACGGGUUCCGUGCCGUAGCUAACGCUUUAAGUACCCCGCCUGGGGAGUACGGCCGCAAGGCUAAAACUCAAAGGAAUUGACGGGGCCCCGCACAAGCGGCGGAGCAUGCGGAUUAAUUCGAUGCAACGCGUAGAACUUUACCUGGGUUUGACAUGGAUCGGGAGUGCUCAGAGAUGGGUGUGCCUCUUUUGGGGUCGGUUCACAGGUGGUGCAUGCCUGUCGUCAGCUCGUGUCGUGAGAUGUUGGGUUAAGUCCCGCAACGAGCGCAACCCUUGUUCACUGUUGCCAGCACGUUAUGGUGGGGACUCAGUGGAGACCGCCGGGGUCAACUCGGAGGAAGGUGGGGAUGACGUCAAGUCAUCAUGCCCCUUAUGUCCAGGGCUUCACGCAUGCUACAAUGGCUGGCACAGAGAGUGGCGAGCCUGUGAGGGUGAGCGAAUCUCGGAAAGCCGGUCUCAGUUCGGAUUAGGGUCUGCAACUCGACCUCAUGAAGUCGGAGUCGCUAGUAAUCGCAGAUCAGCAACGCUGCGGUGAAUACGUUCCCGGG
RNAcentral lists this ribosomal RNA (1343 nucleotides) under uncultured bacterium. Its description in RNAcentral is "16S ribosomal RNA". It matches the Rfam family "Bacterial small subunit ribosomal RNA", at positions 28 to 1378 of the family's 1533-position model. The record is from RNAcentral.